RNAcentral lists this unclassified non-coding RNA (360 nucleotides) under soil metagenome. RNAcentral's name for it is "partial contains 5.8S ribosomal RNA, internal transcribed spacer 2, and large subunit ribosomal RNA". The stretch from base 1 to 120 matches the Rfam family "5.8S ribosomal RNA", at positions 35 to 154 of the family's 154-position model. The record is from RNAcentral.
GAUGAAGAACGCAGCGAAAUGCGAUAAGUAAUGUGAAUUGCAGAAUUCAGUGAAUCAUCGAAUCUUUGAACGCACAUUGCGCCCGGUAGUAAUCUGCCGGGCAUGCCUGUCCGAGCGUCAUUUCAACCCUCGAACCACUAUUCGCGUAGCUGGAUCGGUGUUGGGGCACUACGGUGGAAUACCCGUAGGCCCCGAAAUGAAGUGGCGGUCCCGCCGCGGCGCCCCAUGCGUAGUAACAUCUCGUCUCGCAUCGGGUCCCGGCGGAGGCCUGCCGUCAAGCCUAUUUUCUAAUUACAGAUGGUUUGACCUCGGAUCAGGUAGGGUUACCCGCUGAACUUAAGCAUAUCAAUAAGCGGAGGA